RNAcentral lists this ribosomal RNA (450 nucleotides) under uncultured bacterium. RNAcentral describes it as "partial 16S ribosomal RNA". It matches the Rfam family "Bacterial small subunit ribosomal RNA", at positions 354 to 796 of the family's 1533-position model. The record is from RNAcentral.
GUCGAGAAUAAUUCACAAUGGGGGAAACCCUGAUGGUGCAACGCCGCGUGGAGGAUGAAGGUCUUCGGAUUGUAAACUCCUGUCAUCUGGGAGUAAGACCUGACGGUGAAUAGCCGGCAGGGUUGAUAGUACCAGAAGAGGAAGGGACGGCUAACUUCGUGCCAGCAGCCGCGGUAAUACGAAGGUCCCAAGCGUUGUUCGGAAUCACUGGGCGUAAAGGGUGCGUAGGCGGCGUGGUAAGUCAGAUGUGAAAGCCCGGGGCUCAACCUCGGAACUGCACCCGAUACUGCCAUGCUGGAGGGCUAGAGAGGUAACUGGAAUUCUCGGUGUAGCAGUGAAAUGCGUGGAUAUCGAGAGGAACACUCGUGGCGAAGGCGAGUUACUGGACAGCAUCUGACGCUGAGGCACGAAGGCCAGGGGAGCGAAAGGGAUUAGAUACCCGGGUAGUCC